GACGUAGACGAACCAAGCAGUUGCGAAUGCCAUUAGUGCUACCAUGGUCAAAGAAGGGACUUAAGAUUGGCAAAGACAGCAACAGAAUCUGAAAAUGUACGAAAAGAAUAUGACGAGGCCAACAGAAAGUUAUCUAAACUAAAAUCAAGGAUAUCUCGCUUAACAAAGAAGCUAGCACAUGAUUUUCGUAUGUUUUGUUUAUUUAAUCUUGUAAAUUACAGAAGUUUUCCGUCUUUUCUAUGGUUCUUCUGUGACCCGUGUUUGACUUUGUAGGACCAGAGAAGGAAUUCUACUCGCGAUAUGGUCAAUGUUUUGAAAGCAAACAGAACAAGUUACAACCUUUGCAACUUUUUGUUUACCUUUUUUUCCAUAUUGAGCUAUAAAAUUUCUUUAUCUAUUUUCUCUAAGUUUGAAUUGUUCCUGUUUUUUGAUUGAUUUCAUUC
Helianthus annuus (common sunflower) is the source of this 443-nucleotide long non-coding RNA. RefSeq lists it as uncharacterized. Lineage: Eukaryota; Viridiplantae; Streptophyta; Magnoliopsida; Asterales; Asteraceae. The record is from RefSeq and is a predicted model, not a curated record. The transcript is spliced from 3 exons.